GAUGAAGAACGCAGCGAAAUGCGAUAAGUAGUGUGAAUUGCAGAAUUCAGUGAAUCAUCGAAUCUUUGAACGCACCUUGCGCCCUUUGGCUAUUCCGAAGGGCAUGCCUGUUUGAGUAUCAUGAACACCUCAACUCUCAUGGCUUGCCAUGAUGAGCUUGGACUUUUGGGGGUCUUGCUGGCCUGUGGUCAGCUCCUCUCAAAUGAAUUAGCCUGCCAGUGUUUGGUGGCAUCACAGGUGUGAUAACUAUCUACGCUUGUGGUUUUCCACCAGGUAACCUUCAGUGAUGAAGGUUCGCUGGGGCUCAUAAACGUCUCUCCUCAGUGAGGACAGCUCUUUGAACGUUUGAUCUCAAAUCAGGUAGGACUACCCGCUGAACUUAAGCAUAUCAAUAAGCGGAGGA
This 403-nucleotide unclassified non-coding RNA is filed under the name soil metagenome. RNAcentral describes it as "partial contains 5.8S ribosomal RNA, internal transcribed spacer 2, and large subunit ribosomal RNA". The stretch from base 1 to 121 matches the Rfam family "5.8S ribosomal RNA", at positions 35 to 154 of the family's 154-position model. The record is from RNAcentral.